UACGUAGGGGUCGAGCGUUGUCCGGACUUACUGGGCGUAAAGCGUGGGUAGGUGGUCGGUGAUGUGCCGUGUGAAAGCGCCGCGCUUCUCGCGGCGAGGUCGCGGUAGACACACCGACUGGAGGCACGGAGGGGGGCGUAGAAUUCCCGGUGUAGUGGUGAAAUGCGUAGAUAUCGGGGAGGAAUACCAGUGGCGCAAGCGGCGCCCUGGCCGUGACCUGACACUGAGCCACGACGGCGUGGGGGAGCAAACGGG
RNAcentral lists this ribosomal RNA (255 nucleotides) under uncultured bacterium. RNAcentral describes it as "partial 16S ribosomal RNA". It matches the Rfam family "Bacterial small subunit ribosomal RNA", at positions 524 to 776 of the family's 1533-position model. The record is from RNAcentral.